Molecule: ribosomal RNA, 694 nt
Filed under: Tephritis neesii
Lineage: Eukaryota; Metazoa; Arthropoda; Insecta; Diptera; Tephritidae
Description: partial large subunit ribosomal RNA
Rfam family: Eukaryotic large subunit ribosomal RNA
Source: RNAcentral
UCUAGUAGCUGGUUCCCUCCGAAGUUUCCCUCAGGAUAGCUGGUGCAUUAUAAUAUUAUGUUAAAUAAUCUUAUCUGGUAAAGCGAAUGAUUAGAGGCCUUAGGGUCGAAACGAUCUUAACCUAUUCUCAAACUUUAAAUGGGUAAGAACCUCACCUUUCUUGAUAUGAAGGUUGAGGUUAUGAUAUAAUGUGCCCAGUGGGCCACUUUUGGUAAGCAGAACUGGCGCUGUGGGAUGAACCAAACGUAAUGUUACGGUGCCUAAAUUAACAACUCAUGCAGAUACCAUGAAAGGCGUUGGUUGCUUAAAACAGCAGGACGGUGGACAUGGAAGUCGUAAUCCGCUAAGGAGUGUGUAACAACUCACCUGCCGAAGCAACUAGCCCUUAAAAUGGAUGGCGCUUAAGUUGUAUACCUAUACAUUACCGCUAAAGUAAAUGAUUUAUAAUACAAUUUCGAUUGAAUUAUAAAUUUUGAAACUUUAGUGAGUAGGAGGGUACAAUGGUGUGCUUAGAAGUGUUUGGCGUAAGCCUGCAUGGAGCCGCUAUUGGUACAGAUCUUGGUGGUAGUAGCAAAUAAUCGAAUGAGACCUUGGAGGACUGAAGUGGAGAAGGGUUUCGUGUGAACAGUGGUUGAUCACGAGUUAGUCGGUCCUAAGUUCAAGGCGAAAGCCGAAAAUUUUCAAGUUUUAAUGC